RNAcentral lists this ribosomal RNA (426 nucleotides) under uncultured beta proteobacterium. RNAcentral describes it as "bacterial SSU rRNA". It matches the Rfam family "Bacterial small subunit ribosomal RNA", at positions 356 to 774 of the family's 1533-position model. Lineage: Bacteria; Pseudomonadati; Pseudomonadota; Betaproteobacteria. The record is from RNAcentral.
GGGGAAUUUUGGACAAUGGGCGCAAGCCUGAUCCAGCAAUGCCGCGUGCAGGAUGAAGGCCUUCGGGUUGUAAACUGCUUUUGUACGGAACGAAAAGCCUCUCUCUAAUACCCUGUUCGGAUGACGGUACCGUCAUAAGAAGCACCGGCUAACUACGUGCCAGCAGCCGCGGUAAUACGUAGGGUGCGAGCGUUAAUCGGAAUUACUGGGCGUAAAGCGUGCGCAGGCGGUUGAUUAAGACAGGCGUGAAAUCCCCGGGCUUAACCUGGGAACUGCGCUUGUGACUGGUCGGCUAGAGUACGGCAGAGGGGGGUGGAAUUCCACGUGUAGCAGUGAAAUGCGUAGAGAUGUGGAGGAACACCGAUGGCGAAGGCAGCCCCCUGGGCCGAUACUGACGCUCAUGCACGAAAGCGUGGGUAGCAAACA